UACGUAGGUGGCAAGCGUUACUCGGAAUUACUAGGCGUAAAGCGCAGGUAGGCGGUUUGGAAAGUUUCUUGUGAAAGCUCCCGGCUUAACUGGGAGAGGCCAAGGAAAACUACCAGGCUAGAGUGUGGAAGAGGAGUGUGGAAUUCCCGGUGUAGCGGUGAAAUGCGCAGAUAUCGGGAAGAACACCCGUGGCGAAGGCGGCACUCUGGGACGGUACUGACGCUGAGACGCGAAAGCGUGGGGAGCGAACAGG
This 253-nucleotide ribosomal RNA is filed under the name uncultured bacterium. RNAcentral's name for it is "partial 16S ribosomal RNA". It matches the Rfam family "Bacterial small subunit ribosomal RNA", at positions 524 to 776 of the family's 1533-position model. The record is from RNAcentral.